RNAcentral lists this ribosomal RNA (541 nucleotides) under uncultured bacterium. Its description in RNAcentral is "bacterial SSU rRNA". It matches the Rfam family "Bacterial small subunit ribosomal RNA", at positions 774 to 1308 of the family's 1533-position model. The record is from RNAcentral.
AGCCAAUAGAUACCCUGGUAGUCCACGCCCUAAACGAUGUCUACUAGUUGUUGGUGGAGUAAAAUCCAUGAGUAAACGCAGCUAACGCGUGAAGUAGACCGCCUGGGGAGUACGGUCGCAAGAUUAAAACUCAAAGGAAUUGACGGGGGGCCCGCACAAGCGGUGGAUUAUGUGGAUUAAUUCGAUGCAACGCGAAAAACCUUACCUGGCCUUGACAUGCCACUAACGAAGCAGAGAUGCAUUAGGUGCCCGUAAGGGAAAGUGGACACAGGUGCUGCAUGGCUGUCGUCAGCUCGUGUCGUGAGAUGUUGGGUUAAGUCCCGCAACGAGCGCAACCCUUGCCAUUAAUUGCCAUCAUUUAGUUGGGCACUUUAAUGGGACUGCCGGUGACAAACCGGAGGAAGGUGGGGAUGACGUCAAGUCCUCAUGGCCCUUAUGGCCAGGGCUUCACACGUAAUACAAUGGUCGGUACAGAGAGUUGCCAACCCGCGAGGGGUAGCUAAUCUCAGAAAACCCGAUCGUAGUCCGGAUUGUUCUCUGC